This 551-nucleotide ribosomal RNA is filed under the name Parlatoria proteus. RNAcentral's name for it is "eukaryotic LSU rRNA". RNAcentral also lists the same sequence under 2 other names. Lineage: Eukaryota; Metazoa; Arthropoda; Insecta; Hemiptera; Diaspididae. The record is from RNAcentral.
AUCUGGGCGGCGGAAUUCAGGAUGGCGGGCGCGUCUUCGCGGCGCGUUCGUCGUUUGAUAUUUCCGUCGCCGACUCAACCCGCAGACGUCGCGACCUGUUCGCGGUCGGUCCUUGCUCGGAGGAGUCGCGUUCGAGUUUGUUGCGUGCGCGUUUCUGCGCGUCACGCGGCAAAGACGCGAAUCUCUGGCUGGCCGUCGGACAGUACGUUCAAACGGUGUCCGGUGUCGUCGUCUCGUACGCGCGCGCACCGGUACCGGUCGGCGACGAAUUCUUCGGGCCUCUUUCCGACCCGUCUUGAAACACGGACCAAGGAGUCUAACAUGCGCGCGAGUCGCGGGGUGUCGAGCGUACCACGGUGCGUUCGUUACGUUGCGAAACCCGUACAUGUCGAAGGCGUAAUGAAAGUGAAUGGGGAAGAUGGUGUUCCGAGUACACGUUCCGCGGUCAUCGGUACCGCGGCCGGACACCCGCAUUCCCGGGGCGUCUCAACGGCCCGUCGCGGAUGCGGACAGUCGUCUUUCGGGGCGGCUGUCGGUCUGCGACGAACCGA